RNAcentral lists this microRNA (22 nucleotides) under Ovis aries (sheep). Its description in RNAcentral is "miRNA 17". The record is from RNAcentral. Lineage: Eukaryota; Metazoa; Chordata; Mammalia; Artiodactyla; Bovidae.
UUCUCAGCGUGUCCCUCCUACC